UCAGGUGGUUAUAACACCGGGGCUCCACCUCUUCCCAUUCCGAACAGAGAAGUUAAGCCCGGUCGUGCCGAUGGUACUGCGUAAAAGUGGGAGAGUAGGUUACCGCCGUUUU
RNAcentral lists this ribosomal RNA (112 nucleotides) under Dysgonomonas mossii. Lineage: Bacteria; Pseudomonadati; Bacteroidota; Bacteroidia; Bacteroidales; Dysgonomonadaceae. The record is from RNAcentral.